RNAcentral lists this ribosomal RNA (320 nucleotides) under uncultured eukaryote. Its description in RNAcentral is "partial 18S ribosomal RNA". It matches the Rfam family "Eukaryotic small subunit ribosomal RNA", at positions 1470 to 1796 of the family's 1831-position model. The record is from RNAcentral.
CCCCUAGAUGUUCUGGGCCGCACGCGCGCUACACUGAACAGUUCAACAAGUCUUAACCUUGGCCGAUAGGUCUGGGUAAUCUUUGAACGCUGUUCGUGAUUGGGAUAGACCUUUGCAAUUAUGGGUCUUCAACGAGGAAUUCCUAGUAAACGCAAGUCAUCAGCUUGCAUUGAUUACGUCCCUGCCCUUUGUACACACCGCCCGUCGCACCUACCGAUUGAAUGGUCCGGUGAAAUCUCGGGACGGCGGCUUGGUCGCUUGCGUCCGACUGCUGAAACUUGAUUAAACCAUAUCAUUUAGAGGAAGGUGAAGUCGGAACA